UGUUCUCAUAAAAAAAAGAAAAGUAAAACUGAAAGCACCAGCACAGCAGGGCACGAGCAUAGGAAGCAGAAGAGAAGCAGAAGCAACUUUUCUUUUCUUUCUAUUUUUUUAACUACUCUCUCUCUCUCUCCCCAAAAGCUAAACCCCAGCUCUCUCUCGCUGUCUGUCUGUUUUCUUACAAAUUUGCGUAACUGUAUAUAGAGAAAGAGGCUGUGUUUGUGGCUUGUGGUAGAGAGCACUGAAGCUACAACACAACUUUGUUAGUUUAUUUUUCUUUUCUUUUUUUUUUCUUUUCUUUUUUUAUAUACAUAUAAAAAAAGUGCGUGUAUUUUCGAGAUCCGGCAUCUGAAAUCUGCGAUUUUCCGGGAAAAUCGUUGGGUUUUUGAUUUAUUGAUUCCUUCAAAAAUCUCCUGUCAGACUGCUUCCCACUGGAAUCCAUCCCACUCGCCUUCAUCCGGCGCAUUUUAGCCUCUCCCGAGAAAAUGGCAAUGUGUUUGGUUGGAUGGAUUGAUCUGUGUUGUUCCCUGAAUCGCUCUACUCCAAUCGACAAAGACUCCAUUGCCUAUUGAAUCUUUACACAGACAGACCCACCACAAUACUGUUUUGGGUUGUUGUGCUCUCUACUCUUGGAAUUGAUGCCACUACGAUUCAUUUGUCACCUCUGCUUUGCCUCCAUACUUGGAUUGGACAUGAUUAAAUCUCUCUCGCAUUUGCUGAGGAGCAAUCCAUAAUAUAUUCACAGAAUCUGCUUGUGCCCUGUUUCUUCAAAGUGUAAAUCCAACUCUGUAUUGUCAAUCAAAAAAAAAAAAAAAAAAAAGAGAGAGAGAGAUGGAUAAGAGGAGGGUUUUGUCAUUGAGGCAUGUGUUGAUGUUGUCUUUGGCGCUGAACGUUGGGCUGAUAUUGAGGCUUGGAUAUGUGGGUGAGAAUUGGAGAGCUGAACAGAGUGUUCAUGGGCUCUGUUUGGAGGAGAAACAGUACCGGAACAUAGAGGCUUCCAUGGUCGAUUGUGACCAAAAAGUGGCGCACGUUAGCAAGACGAAGCUCGUGGAGACGACGACGUGGUCAACUUCAACUGCUCAUAAGGAAGUCGAAGAUGGUGGAGGGCGAGUCAUCAAUCUCGACCAUGGCGAUCCGACAAUGUACGAGAGUUUUUGGCAGCAGAUGGGUGACAGGACCACAGUUGUGAUCUCUGGGUGGCAGUACAUCAGUUAUUUUUCUGAUGUUACAAAACUUUGCUGGUUUUUGGAGCCAGAAUUUGCAAGGGCAGUUAUUAGAUUGCACAAACUGGUUGGAAAUGCCAUCACUGAAGGCCAUCACAUUGUGGUUGGAACAGGUUCGACACAACUCUUUCAGGCUGCAUUAUAUGCUCUCUGUCCGCCCAAUGCAUCUGAGCCCAUGAGCGUGGUGUCUGCUGCCCCGUUUUACUCGUCUUACCCAUUGAUGACAGACUUCCUGGAGUCUGGGCUCUAUAAAUGGGCUGGCGAUGCACACAAAUUUAGUAAAAAUAGGCCUUACAUUGAGCUUGUAACCUCACCUAACAACCCUGAUGGAUCCACAAGGCAGGCCGUGGUGAACCGAAAUCAAGGAAUACUGGUUCAUGAUCUUGCAUACUAUUGGCCGCAAUAUACUCCAAUCUCUUUUCCUGCAGACCAUGACCUUAUGCUCUUCACUGUGUCCAAAAGCACCGGCCAUGCUGGAACGCGCAUUGGUUGGGCCCUUGUUAAAGACCAAGAAGUCGCAAGAAAAAUGACCAAAUUCAUAGAGCUCAACACCAUAGGCGUGUCCAAAGAUUCACAACUUCGAGCAGCCAAGAUUUUGCAAGCUGUAGGUGAUAGUUGUGACCCUGUUGGCAGUGAUGAAGAAGUCCAACCCUUCUUUGACUAUAGCUAUAUCCUCAUGGAAAAGAGGUGGAAGCAGCUGAGAGCAGCAGUGAAAAACAGUCGACUAUUCAGUCUGCCUGACUUUCCUACUGCGUUCUGCAACUUCAGCGGUUGUAGUUUUGAACCACAGCCCGCGUUUGCAUGGUUGAAAUGUGAAGGGGAAAUAGAGGAUUGCGAAAGCUUUCUUCGCGGGCACAAGAUAUUGACUAGAGGAGGGAAGCACUUUGGGGUCUGCCCCAAGUAUGUUAGAAUUAGCAUGUUGGAACGCGAAAAAAAUUUCGACCUCUUUACACAGAGGUUGUCUACAAUCCAAUCUUGGUAGUCCUCAAGUAAUCUGGUUACUGUGCACAAGAGAAAAUGAACGCAGUGCAGCACAACUUGAGACUGAUUCCAGUAAUACCUGUUGUCAAGUGUCACUCGAUCUGAAUGAGGAAUAUGCUCAAUUUACGUUGAAUCGGCAGAGAAUUAGAUCUACUGAAACCCAUAACGCAAUUCCUUUUCUACCCAUUGGCUUCUUACCCCUUGCAAAAACACUACCCUCACCAAUAGUUGGAUUGUUACCAACACUUGGACUGUUGUCGUCUUCAAGAGAAUGCAGUUAUCCAUAGGAGAAUCGGGGGCUGAAUUAGGGGUAAACGCUAUAUGCAUCCUUAAAUUUACUAUAUUCAUAGGAGUUACAUCUUGCUACCUGAUAUUGUCUUGCAAGAUUGGCUAACAAUAUUCAAAAGUAAAAUGUUUGUUUUCAUCUUGAUGGUAUAAUUGUUUUGCUUAAAGCAUCUGUAUCAAUAAAAUUAAAACAUUAUUUCAUUA
Molecule: non-coding RNA, 2690 nt
Organism: Camellia sinensis
Lineage: Eukaryota; Viridiplantae; Streptophyta; Magnoliopsida; Ericales; Theaceae
Source: RefSeq, a predicted model, not a curated record